GAUGAACGCUAGCUACAGGCUUAACACAUGCAAGUCGCGGGGCAGCAUGGGGGUUGCUUGCAAUCCCCGAUGGCGACCGGCGCACGGGUGAGUAACGCGUAUCCAACCUGCCCUUCACCACGGGAUAACCCGGCGAAAGUCGGACUAAUACCGUAUGUUGUCCAUUGACGGCAUCCGAUUUGGACGAAAGGUUUGGCGGUGAAGGCUGGGGAUGCGUCCGAUUAGCUGGACGGCGGGGUGACGGCCCACCGGGGCGACGAUCGGUAGGGGUUCUGGGGGGAAGGUCCCCCACACUGGAACUGGGACACGGGCCAGACUCCUACGGGAGGCAGCAGUGAGGAAUAUUGGUCAAUGGGCGUAAGCCUGAACCAGCCAAGUAGCGUGCAGGAAGACGGCCCGAUGGGUUGUAAACUGCUUUUAUGCGGGGAUAAAGUGGCCCACGUGUGGGUUUUUGCAGGUACCGCAUGAAUAAGGACCGGCUAAUUCCGUG
Molecule: ribosomal RNA, 490 nt
Filed under: uncultured bacterium
Lineage: Bacteria
Description: partial 16S ribosomal RNA
Rfam family: Bacterial small subunit ribosomal RNA
Source: RNAcentral